AUUGAAAAAUUAAAUCCGCCAU
RNAcentral lists this small nuclear RNA (22 nucleotides) under Arabidopsis thaliana (thale cress). RNAcentral describes it as "snRNA_18711". The record is from RNAcentral. Lineage: Eukaryota; Viridiplantae; Streptophyta; Magnoliopsida; Brassicales; Brassicaceae.